CAGUCGCCGCGGGAAUACGUAGGGUGCAAGCGUUAAUCGGAAUUACUGGGCGUAAAGCGUGCGCAGGCGGUUAUAUAAGACAGAUGUGAAAUCCCCGGGCUCAACCUGGGAACUGCAUUUGUGACUGUAUAGCUAGAGUACGGCAGAGGGGGAUGGAAUUCCGCGUGUAGCAGUGAAAUGCGUAGAUAUGCGGAGGAACACCGAUGGCGAAGGCAAUCCCCUGGGCCUGUACUGACGCUCAUGCACGAAAGCGUGGGGAGCAAACAGGAUUAGAGACCCCAGUAGUCCCUGUCUCUUAUAA
RNAcentral lists this ribosomal RNA (301 nucleotides) under uncultured bacterium. RNAcentral describes it as "partial 16S ribosomal RNA". It matches the Rfam family "Bacterial small subunit ribosomal RNA", at positions 509 to 809 of the family's 1533-position model. The record is from RNAcentral.